Molecule: unclassified non-coding RNA, 1023 nt
Filed under: Hevea brasiliensis (rubber tree)
Lineage: Eukaryota; Viridiplantae; Streptophyta; Magnoliopsida; Malpighiales; Euphorbiaceae
Source: RNAcentral
UUUAUAUAUUUAAUAAAUAAAUUUCAUUAUCCAUAAUAAUUUAAUUUAAAUAAGAAAAAUCCUUUCUCACCAGCCUUACUGUAGUAAUUCACCAUUUGCUGAGUUGACAAAAGAAUGACAAAUAUUCUGUGCUGAUAUCCCUAACGCAUCCUCUACCGUCCGAUCAUCCCAUCCAUCUUUCAUAGCUUGAUUCAACCGUUGGAUGAACCCCUUGCUGUGCCGCUCACAAUGGUCAAGAAAUUGCGCCACUGCCCUGGGGUCCUUAUCCCCCAUGCAAAACUGACCAAAUUCCGGCAGCUCCGACCCAUCAAAAUCUCUCAUGGGACCAUAUCCUGCCACCGUCUUUAUAUAUUCCAACAGGCCGUCGAUAAGCCAAGGCGGAGCCUUAUCCUUACUGUCAUCGUCCCAUAGCCAUACGCGGGACAAUCCCUGUAAAACUAUCGAUUUAAGAGCAUAAUCAAGGUUUUUGGUAUCACCCACUAUUGAUGGACUUACAGUAAUCACAAACUCAUGGUUUGUGUUUGUUUCAACCACAAACAAGUUGGUUAUGUUGGACCUAGCCAGCCGAAGAGUGACUCGGUUCACUUUCUUCUUGGUGUAGCUGAUAUUUGGAUAAAGAAUGUUCUCAACGAAAGAACUAGAGCUUUGGAUUAAACGAGUAGCUUUGUCGUUGGACAUGUACAAGAGGUUGAAGCGUUUGCCUAGGGGAGAGUCUUUGAUAUCGUUGAUUAUUGUGAUUCCAAAGCCUUUUGAAGCUUCAUAUUUUGCCCAUAAAGAGAUAACUCCAAUGGAAAUGAGUAUGAAAAGCCGGAGAAUGAUGCUGGAAUAUGAAGAGAAACUCUUGUUGAUAUGAUAAUAAUCAUGUUCAGCGUUGUGUAGGGUUGGGGUGAUGAUGGGGGCGGCGGAGGAUAGGAGGGGUUGGAAGAGUUGUUGAUCUUCCAUGAGCGGUGGCGUGGCUAGCUAAACAAGGAUUGGAGCCUAAAAGAGGUAAAAAAGGUAGUGGAAUGGCCACAGAAUAAAGAC